RNAcentral lists this ribosomal RNA (369 nucleotides) under uncultured bacterium. Its description in RNAcentral is "bacterial SSU rRNA". It matches the Rfam family "Bacterial small subunit ribosomal RNA", at positions 525 to 896 of the family's 1533-position model. The record is from RNAcentral.
ACGUAGGUGGCAAGCGUUGUCCGGAUUUAUUGGGUUUAAAGGGUGCGUAGGCGGUUUAUUAAGUCAGUGGUGAAAGACGAUAGCUUAACUAUCGAGGUGCCAUUGAUACUGAUGAACUUGAGUGCACACGAGGUAAGCGGAAUGGACGGUGUAGCGGUGAAAUGCAUAGAUAUCGUCCAGAACACCGAUAGUGAAGACAGCUUACCAGAGUGCAACUGACGCUGAGGCACGAAAGUGUGGGGAUCAAACAGGAUUAGAUACCCUGGUAGUCCACACUGUAAACGUUGAUAACUCGCUGUUGGCGAUACACAGCCAGCGGCCAAGCGCAAGCGAUAAGUUAUCCACCUGGGGAGUACGCCGGCAACGGUG